AUGGGAGCUUUCCCUUCACCGCCCCCAUAGGGGUGGUCCACAGGGUUCAUAACUACCCUUCUUACUAUGGGGCGUUUACCUAGCCAACACUUAGAUCCGGCUCUACCCAAACUUUUUUGGUUCACCUCAACAUUACCCACUUGCCCGACUGUUGCUAAGCAGUUUUGGGAUACUAAACGUACCCCAGAUGGUAAUCUUAAAGUGGCCGAUUUACCCUCUUUUGCAAUGAGUUUCUCUACAACACCUGCCGCUCUAGCUAAUUGCCCACCCCUUCCACGUGUGAUUUCUAUGUUAUGCAUGGCCACAUAG
This 309-nucleotide ribosomal RNA is filed under the name Triticum aestivum (bread wheat). Its description in RNAcentral is "partial small subunit ribosomal RNA". Lineage: Eukaryota; Viridiplantae; Streptophyta; Magnoliopsida; Poales; Poaceae. The record is from RNAcentral.